This 421-nucleotide unclassified non-coding RNA is filed under the name soil metagenome. Its description in RNAcentral is "partial contains 5.8S ribosomal RNA, internal transcribed spacer 2, and large subunit ribosomal RNA". The stretch from base 1 to 120 matches the Rfam family "5.8S ribosomal RNA", at positions 35 to 154 of the family's 154-position model. The record is from RNAcentral.
GAUGAAGAACGUAGCGAAAUGCGAUACGUAAUGUGAAUUGCAGAAUUCAGUGAAUCAUCGAAUCUUUGAACGCAUAUUGCGCUCUUUGGUAUUCCGAAGAGCAUGCUUGUUUGAGUAUCAGUAAACACCUCAACCUCUUCUUGAUUUUUCAAAAGGAGGGUGGACUUGAGCUAUCCCAACAACCUUUACCGGUCGGCGGGCGGCUUGAAAUGCAGGUGCAGCUGGACUUUUAUCUGAGCUAAAAGCAUAUCUAUUUAGUCCUCGUCAAACAGGAUUAUUACUUUUGCUGCAGCUAACAUGAAGGAUAAUUGUCCUCUUUGCUGACUGAUGCAGGAUUUUACGACACUUUAUGUGUUGUUCAACUCGAUCUCAAAUCAAGUAAGACUACCCGCUGAACUUAAGCAUAUCAAUAAGCGGAGGA